Molecule: ribosomal RNA, 110 nt
Filed under: Neochloris sp. AY2
Lineage: Eukaryota; Viridiplantae; Chlorophyta; Chlorophyceae; Sphaeropleales; Neochloridaceae
Description: partial 18S ribosomal RNA
Rfam family: Eukaryotic small subunit ribosomal RNA
Source: RNAcentral
AAGUCGCCGGUCUCCGGCUUCUAUGCCAAGAAGUUCAUUAAACCCUCCCACCUAGAGGAAGGAGAAGUCGUAACAAGGUUUCCGUAGGUGAACCUGCGGAAGGAUCAUUG